UACGGGGGGGGCAAGCGUUGUUCGGAAUUACUGGGCGUAAAGGGCUCGUAGGCGCCAACUAAGUCAGACGUGAAAUCCCUCGGCUUAACCGGGGAACUGCGUCUGAUACUGGUUGGCUUGAAUCCGGGAGAGGGAUGUGGAAUUCCAGGUGUAGCGGUGAAAUGCGUAGAUAUCUGGAGGAACACCGGUGGCGAAGGCGGCAUCCUGGACCGGUAUUGACGCUGAGGAGCGAAAGCCAGGGGAGCAAACGGG
Molecule: ribosomal RNA, 252 nt
Filed under: uncultured bacterium
Lineage: Bacteria
Description: partial 16S ribosomal RNA
Rfam family: Bacterial small subunit ribosomal RNA
Source: RNAcentral